CACUGAGGACAGAAAACUGAAGCCUAUAAUAGUGCCGUAAAGAUGUUAAUUUCAAAAUUCCCAGAUUAACAACAUAAUAGAUGUAGACAAUUUGGUGGAAAUCAACUGGGUGCUGUUUGAACAGAGUUUGGGUGUUGGUAGUAACACAGUAUUUGGCCCUGUUCCUUUAGGAUCUCUUCUUAGUUACCAGAGAUCAGUUGUUGGAUUUCGUAGAAGAAGAAUGUAUCCUGAUAUAACACUUGUAGCACCAGAGGCCGAAAAAAGAAAAAGGUAGUGAACAUGAAGACAACACAAAUAUAGGUAACAAAGAAAAUAAUGAUAAAGGAAAAUCAACAGAGAAAGUGGAGACAGAAUGAUGAUGGUGUAGAAAAUAGAAAUAUCACUCAAUUAAGACCAGUAAUUCGGCAUCUGUUAGGCAGUUGCUGAGGCUCACCUUGGAGGAAUGAGUCCUGAACUUACAAGAUAUGUUAGAGAAAAGCAGAAUUCUGGAGCUGCAGAAGAUGUACCCAUUAUUCAUAAAAUCAGAAUUUGUGAUCUACUCAACUCCCACAGAAAUGAACUUCAAUAGAAGAGCUGUAUGUAAGGUAGAGGAACAGGCAGAUUGAACAUUAGACUUUGUCAGUGCAAAGGGGGCAGUGAAGUUCAGUCGUUCUCCGCUAAAAACAGAUGAUUGACGACACUGGGCGGACUGAGCACAGGAGCAUAAAGGCCUAGCAGACAGGACAUUCUGGAAACAGAAAUUGUUGCAAGACCUUAUCCAUGACAACAAUAAACAAGGCUGUGAGAUCAUACAAGUCAUUCACAGAUGCUAUGCCUGAGGAAAAUAUAUUGUAGAACCAGAAAUUUUUGCUAUCUUCCCAGUAUGUGUCACAGAAAUAAACAUGUUGUGACAGGACUUUAGUGGUUCAAUAUUGAAGUGAAAAUGACAAGAGAAUGUUUAAAAAAUGGAGGAAAUCUUUUUAUGCUACUACAUGCAGAGAAUGGAAAAUUAAACGAAAAGGCUAACUUUUUAGCUCACCAGUGUCACAUAGUGCCCGUAAUCCAUCCAUCCAUCCAUUCAGCUCUGUUCAGUUUUAUUUCAGAAAGUAUACUUAGAGCUCUGUUCAGUUUUAUUUCCAACAUAUAGCUCUGUUCAAUUUUAUUUUUGAGAGUAUACAUAUAGCUCUGUUCAGUUUUAUUUUUGAGAGUAUACAUAUAGCUCUGUUCAAUUUUAUUUUUGAGAGUAUACAUAUAGCUCUGUUCAGUUUUAUUUCCGAGAGUAUACAUAUAGCUCUAUUCAGUUUUAUUUUUGAGUGUGUGAAUAUAGCUCUGUUCAAUUUUAUUUCCGAGAGUGUAAAUAUAGCUCUGUUCAGUUUUAUUUCUGAGAGUGUAAAUAUAUCUCUGUUCAUAGUUUUAUUUCUGAGAGUGUAUACAGUUUUAUGAUGUGUGUGUGUGUUCAGUUGCAAGAAAGAAAAUGUUCAGCAUUUACUAUAGUUCAUGUGUGGCCGAGUUGUAAUGGUCCAUGACAUUGGAACACUCGAGUACCCUUUCCUUCAGAUGGAUGCAGAAUUCUUUCAUGUGAGGAAGACAAAAGUUUGAUGGUUGUACCCAGGUCUUCUUUAUGCACCCAUGUAAAUUUGAAAUGCCACUACUUUGUUGUUUUGCAGGUUGAAACUUUUAACAUGUCAAAUCGGAUGUACUUCAUACUUGUUAUAUAUACUUUUUGCCGUUGUGAUGAAAAUAUUGCAUUGUUUUUGUGUGUUUUGUCUAUUAUGAUUGCAGUAAGUAAACUUUAAACAUUA
Mercenaria mercenaria is the source of this 1781-nucleotide long non-coding RNA. RefSeq lists it as uncharacterized. The transcript is spliced from 6 exons. Lineage: Eukaryota; Metazoa; Mollusca; Bivalvia; Venerida; Veneridae. The record is from RefSeq and is a predicted model, not a curated record.